AGAGAAAAGGCGAAGGUAAAUCAGUCGAGUGAGGAUCCCCGACAUGGUAGCAGCUGCAGUGGCCUAUCUGUCACCAACUGCAUUCCUCAACUGCCAUGAUGGUAAACUAUGGCGUCGUGCUGCUGCUGUGUGUUGUAUCGUUGAUGGCUGGGUCGACCACUGGUGUACCGAUGUCUUCUUGGUAGGGCGGGUACCAAACCGCAACACCGCCGCCUUACUACCCAAAAGCAACUUACGCAACGACCAGUUCCUGCACCGAGGUCUACAAGUACUACACUACUAAGGCACCGGAGUUUUAUACCAUAACUUACGCUGACCCGAGCCACUAUACUGACGCCCUGAAAUAUUACUCUGCCCUGAGUUACUACACCACCAAGGCGACGGAGCAGGACUACGCAUGCUGCCCCAUCCUACUACACCGAGGCUCCCAGGUGCUACACCGAUGCUCCCGCUGAUUAGUCCACCCAAACGGUCGAAUACUACACCGAAGCGGCGAAAUACUUCUCUGCCCCGAUCUACACAACCACAGCUGAGGUGGCUAAAUAUUACGCAGUCCCGACUUGCUACAUAAAAGCUGCCCUUUCGUGCUACGUUGAACAGAAAUACUACACUGAUGCUCCAGUCUACUACACCACGACCUACGCUACAACCCCGACCCCCCAACUACACCGAAGAAGCCGCCUAUUACACAACUACGUACGCUGCCUAGUUUACUGCAUCGAGGAAUUUAAGUAUUACCCCGGUCCAAACUACUACCAAACUGAGGUUCAUAUUUAUUGCAAUUUUCACGACUAUGUCACCACUCAACUAUACUUACGCUGCUCCCACCUAAUAUACACUGAAGUUCUGAAGUAUUUCUCUGGAUGUGUUGAAAGAUUGCUGAAAUACAAAAUUGAUUGAUAAAUCACAA
RNAcentral lists this unclassified non-coding RNA (910 nucleotides) under Daphnia pulicaria. RNAcentral describes it as "uncharacterized LOC124311511, transcript variant X3". The record is from RNAcentral. Lineage: Eukaryota; Metazoa; Arthropoda; Branchiopoda; Diplostraca; Daphniidae.